RNAcentral lists this ribosomal RNA (468 nucleotides) under uncultured bacterium. Its description in RNAcentral is "partial 16S ribosomal RNA". It matches the Rfam family "Bacterial small subunit ribosomal RNA", at positions 28 to 507 of the family's 1533-position model. The record is from RNAcentral.
GACGAACGCUGGCGGCGUGCUUAACGCAUGCAAGUCGAACGGAAAGGCCCUGCUUUUGUGGGGUGCUCGAGUGGCGAACGGGUGAGUAACACGUGAGUAACCUGCCCUUGACUUUGGGAUAACUUCAGGAAACUGGGGCUAAUACCGGAUAGGAGCUUCUGCUGCAUGGUGGGGGUGGGAAAGUGUCGGCGGUGGGGGAUGGACGCGCGGCUUAUCAGCUUGUUGGUGGGGUAGUGGCUUACCAAGGCAUUGACGGGUAGCCGAACUGAGAGGUUGACCGGCCACAUUAGGACUGAGAUACGGCCCAGACUCCUACGGGAGGCAGCAGUGGGGAAUAUUGCACAAUGGGCGGAAGCCUGAUGCAGCGACGCCGCGUGCGGGAUGACGGCCUGCGGGUUGUAAACCGCUUUCGCCUGUGACGAAGCGUGAGUGACGGUACUUGGUAAAGAAGCACCGGCUAACUACGUG